GCCAGCAGCUAGCUCCCUGCAACUCUCACAUGGUCGCCCACUGAAGCUAAGCAGAGCUUCGCCCAGUCAGUACCUGGAUGGGAGACCACAUGGAAAAGCUUGGUUGCUACCGGAA
Non-coding RNA from Danio rerio (zebrafish), 115 nucleotides. Lineage: Eukaryota; Metazoa; Chordata; Actinopteri; Cypriniformes; Danionidae. The record is from Rfam.